Molecule: unclassified non-coding RNA, 244 nt
Filed under: uncultured fungus
Lineage: Eukaryota; Fungi
Description: sequence contains ITS2
Source: RNAcentral
AACGCACAUUGCGCCCGCCAGUACUCUGGCAGGCAUGCCUGUUCGAGCGUCAUUUCAACCCUCAAGCCCUGCUUGGUGUUGGGGUCCUGCAGCUGUAGGCCCUUAAAAUUAGUGGCGAGCUCGCUAGCAAACCCGAGCGUAGUACUUAACACCGCUCCAGGGCGUGUCAGCGAGUUUCAGCCGUUUAAACUCUCUAAAACCAAAGGUUGACCUCGGAUCAGGUAGGAAUACCCGCUGAACUUAA